RNAcentral lists this transfer RNA (73 nucleotides) under Paramuricea clavata. It matches the Rfam family "tRNA". From Rfam's summary of the family: Transfer RNA (tRNA) molecules are approximately 80 nucleotides in length. Their secondary structure includes four short double-helical elements and three loops (D, anti-codon, and T loops). The record is from Rfam by way of RNAcentral. Lineage: Eukaryota; Metazoa; Cnidaria; Anthozoa; Malacalcyonacea; Plexauridae.
GACCUCGUAGCUCAGUUGGCAGAGCAUUGGGCUAGUAUUCCAAAGGUCGUAGGUUCGAUUCCCACGGUGGCCG